Molecule: ribosomal RNA, 3108 nt
Filed under: Durio zibethinus
Lineage: Eukaryota; Viridiplantae; Streptophyta; Magnoliopsida; Malvales; Malvaceae
Description: eukaryotic LSU rRNA
Rfam family: Eukaryotic large subunit ribosomal RNA (bases 397-3108)
Source: RNAcentral
ACUCUCAACAAUGGAUAUCUUAGCUUUUGCAAUGAUGAAGAAUGUAGCAAAAUGUGAUACUUGGUGUUAAUUGCAGAAUCUUGUAAACCAUCAAGUCUUUGAACACAAGUUGCACCCAAGCCAUUAGGCUGAGGGCAUGUUUGCUUGGGUGUCAUGCAUCGUCUCCCUUUUCCAGCCCCUCGCCUAUCAGGCUUUGGUGAGAGGGGUUAAAGACAGCCUAUCGUGAUCUCGUUGGUCAUAGUUGGCCCAAAAGUAAGUCCUUGACAACGAUAGCACUGUGACCUUUGAUGGUAAAGCUCUUGAGGUGCCUCAUCUCUAGUGACAUGUGGUUAUUGUCCAUCUAACCCCAUCGGACCCCAUCGAACCCUCUACUUCACUCAAUCAAUGCUGGUAUCAUGACCCUAGGUCAAGCAGGACUACACAGUAAGUUUAAGCAUAUCAAUAAGCUCAGGAAAAGAAACCUACCAAGAUUUUCCUAAAAAAUGAUGAGCAAAUCAAGAAGAGACUAGCUUGAGAAUUAGGUACUCACGACAUUCGAAUUGUAGUCUAGAAAAGCAUCCUCACCAGUGGACUAGGCUUAACUCCCUUAGAAAGGAAUGUCAAAGAGGGUGAGAGCCCGGUUGUGCCUAAACCUUUUUGCACCACAUGGCACUGUCGAUGAGUUUGGUUAUUUAGGAAUGCAACCCCAAUUAGGCAAUAAAUUCUAUCCAAGGCUAAAUAUUAGUGAGAGACCGAUAGCAAACAAGUACCAUAGGGAAAGAUGAAAAGGACUUUGAAAAAAUAGUCAAAGAGUGCUUGAAAUUUUUAGAAGGGAAAUGGAUGGGAGCCAAUGAUGCACCCUAAUCGGAUGUGGAAAGGUAAGAGCUAGUCCACUGAUCGGCUCUAGGUGUGGACUAAUAUAGGUCACGAUGGUGGCCUAAGCUCAGAGUUUCGAUAUGCCCAUAAAGACAUUGUCACUACGGUCAUGGAAUGCAACAUGCAUUAUCUUAACAUACCUCAUCACCUAUGUGCUCUUGACAUUAGCCUACGAGCUCCCCAUUCAACCCAUCUUGAAACACAAGCUAAGGAGUCCGAUAUGUGUGUGAGUCAAUGCGCUAGAAAACCCAUAAGGCAAAGGAAGCUGAUUGGCAAGAUCCCUCACAAGUGCACUACCAAUGGACUUUGAUCUUCAGAGAAAGGUUUGAGUGUGACAUGCCUGUCAGGAUCCAAAAAAUGGUGAACUAUGCUUAAGCAGGGCAAAGCCAAAGGAAACUCUAAUGGAGGCCCAUAAUGAUACUAACGUGUAAAUUGUUCACCUAACUUGAGUAUAGGGACAAAAGACUAAUCAAACUGUCUAGCAGUUGUUUCCCUCUAAAGUUUCCCUUAGGAUAGCUAGAGCCCUUGGUGAAUUCUAUUAGGAAAAGCCAAUGAUUAGGGUCAUCGGGGACAUAAUGCCCUUGACAUAUUCUCAAACUUUAAAUAGAUAGAAUAGCACAGCUGCUUUGUUGAGCCAUGCCACAAAAUCGAGAGCUCAAAGGGAGCCAAUUUUGGUAAUCAAAAUUGACGAUGCAGGAUGAAUCAAAAGCCAUGUUAUGGUGCCCAAUUGCAUGCUAACCUAAAACCCACAAAAGGUGUUGGUUGAUUAAGACAGUAGAACUAUCACAAAACCCAAGGUAUGAGCAUAGAUGGAGUGGCCAUCAGUGUAGAUCUUGGUGGUAGUAGUAAAUAUUCAAAUGAGAACUUUAAAGGCUAAAAAGGGGAAAGGUUCCAAGUGAACGACACUUGCACAUGGGUUAGUCAAACCUAAAAUAUGGGGGAAGCCCAUUUGAUAGCGUGUCCAGUGUGAGCUUCAAAAAGGAAUUAGGUUAAAAUUCUUGAAUUGGGACACAAUGGCUUACAACAAUGUUAAAAAGUCUAAAGAUGUUGGCAGAGGCCUCGGUAAGAGUUAUCUUUUUUAUUUAACAACCUACCUACCCUGAAAAUAGCUCAACCAAAGGUAAGGUCUAGUAGCUGGAAGAGCAUCACACAUCAUGCAGUGUCUAGUACACCAUUGGUGGCCCAUGAAAAUUUGGAGGAGUAAGUGCCAUUCAUGCCCUAUCAUACUCAUAACGGCAUCUGGUCUCCAAGGUUAAUAACCUUUGGUAGUUAGAACAAUGUAGGCAAAGGAAGUUAGCAAAAUAGAUCUAUAACCUUGGGAAAAGGAUUGGGUUUGAGGGCUAGGCAUAGGCGUCUCAGUCCCGAACCCACUGACUACUAGUGCACUACUUGAGCUACUCAUCAAGUGACAAAUAGUCAACUCAGAACUAGUAUAGACAAGGGGAAUCUAACUAUUUAAUUAAAAUAAAGUAUUGUGAUGGUCCCUGCAGAUGCUCACACAAUGUAAUUUCUACCCAAUGCUCUGAAUGUUAAAGCAAAGAAAUUCAAACAAAUACGGCUAAAUGGUGGGGGUAACUAUGGCUCUCUUAAGGUAGCCAAAUGCCUUAUCAUCUAAUUAAUGACGUACAUGAAUGGAUUAACAAGAUUCCCACUGUCCUUGUCUACUAUCCAGUGAAACCACAACCAAGGGAAUGGGCUUGGCAAAAUCUAUUGGAAGAAAAGACCAUGUUGAGCUUGACUUUAAUAUGACUUUUUGAAUGACAUAAGAGGUGUAGUAUAAGUGGGAUCCCUUAGGAAAAAUUGAAAUACAACUACUUUUAAUGUUAUUUUACAUAUUUCAUGAAUUGAAGGCUAGGCACAACCUUUUCUUUUGAACCAAAGGUCAGCCUUAAUUGAUCAAUUCAGGCAAAAGACAUUGUCAGGUGAGGAGUUUGGCUAGGGUGGCACAUUUGUUAAAAGAUAAUGCAAGUGCCCUAAGAUGAGCUCAACUAGAACAAAAAGUGUGGUCUUUGCAAAUGACUUAAAUAUGUGAUAGAGUGUUGUAAGUAGCCAAGUGACCUUGUAACCACAAUCCAUUGAGAUUCAGCCCUUUGUCGCUUUGAUUCAUCCCUCCCCCCACGACACUCACUGAAGUCCUCUCACUUGAUUUUUUUACACCACACCCUUCUAAGGUUAAGGAUGAAUAGUGUUCUCUAUUGCAACUGAUUUAGUCAGGUGAUGACAUCCCUCCCUUGAGCAUCUAAGUACAUGACA